GCCUGGUUGGCUCAGUGGGUUGAGUGUCUGACUUCGGCUCAGGUCAUGAUCUCACGGUUCGUGGGUUCGAGUGCCACAUUGGGCU
RNAcentral lists this transfer RNA (85 nucleotides) under Felis catus (domestic cat). It matches the Rfam family "tRNA". Rfam says of the family: Transfer RNA (tRNA) molecules are approximately 80 nucleotides in length. Their secondary structure includes four short double-helical elements and three loops (D, anti-codon, and T loops). Lineage: Eukaryota; Metazoa; Chordata; Mammalia; Carnivora; Felidae. The record is from Rfam by way of RNAcentral.